RNAcentral lists this long non-coding RNA (234 nucleotides) under Medicago truncatula (barrel medic). Its description in RNAcentral is "long non-coding RNA (MTRU_LNC005552)". Lineage: Eukaryota; Viridiplantae; Streptophyta; Magnoliopsida; Fabales; Fabaceae. The record is from RNAcentral.
UUUUGACCAGAUCUCCCUAAAAACCGUACGUGCGGGUCUCCCCGCAUGCGGCUCACGCCAUUCGAGGUGGCCCAGCCCCCUGGAUGUGCUAGCGAUCGGCACACAGAGGGUGUUGGGUUUCUCGGCCUGGUAUCCAACACCUCGCGUUCAUGAUAUCUACAUUCAACUGUGCCCCGGAGACACGGUCGAAGCACGCCCGCCCGGUGUGCUUCUUUCACGACAUGCUCUGGUCCC